Long non-coding RNA from Oryzias latipes (Japanese medaka), 1367 nucleotides. RefSeq lists it as uncharacterized. The record is from RefSeq and is a predicted model, not a curated record. NCBI's taxonomy places the organism in Eukaryota, Metazoa, Chordata, Actinopteri, Beloniformes, Adrianichthyidae.
UGCGUUUACUCACGGAUGGCUUCCGGGUUAAAAAGAGACAGACAAGGUGGGGUUGACUCCCAAGAAGAGUGAGAAACUCUAAGAAACGGGUAAGGGAGACUAAGACCCUUCCAAGGAGCAACCACCAACGGAGCAACAGCCAGAAACAGACCAACGGGAGUUAUGGAGGAGGAUCUGACGCGGCCCUUUCAAAAUUCUGCUGCUGGGAUUAUAAUUAUAUUUUCUUUUGGGGAUGGACGUGGCUGGAAAGUGACCAAGAACAGAGUGAGACUCCCUGAGGUUAAUCCGAAGGAUGGGGAAACAAGUCUGACAUGGGUCACAUCAAUGCCAGGCAGUGUUCAUCAGUCCACCUGUCACUACCCCAUUGAUACAAAGCCGAGCUGACACCUGGUGGUACUGUGGCAGUAACACCCUUUGAAGCGCAUUACCAGGCACUUGUGCCUUGAUAAAUCUUGCUCUUCCGGUGAGUGUUGUUGCAAUUUCUGUAGACUCUGCUUGUCUCUCUCUUUCUCUCUCUCUUUGUCUGUUAUUCACAUUCAAGAUCAGGAUACCCCUGGCAACCAAUGUACAAUCAAUCAAUGCAAUCAAAGAGAGCAGUAGAUCACAAAUUGUGGGGGGGUGAUCCUACCUACAUCACUGCUUUGGGGUCCCCAAAGGUGUUCCAGACGAAUACUGGCUGGCAAACUAAGUUGCAGCUGGCUUUGAGAACAUCCCAAUCAUACUUGCACUGUCUGCUGUGACACCUAACAAGAAUGUUGACAGAAUUAAAUACAUACAUUCCAAUGUGCAAAGACUGGCUAACUAUUCUGAAGAGAUGUUCACAGCAGUCCAUGAACGGCUCAGAGCAACUUCCCUUAUUGCCUCUCAGCACAGAAUAGUCCUGGACAUGCUUCUGGCUGACAAAGGUAGAGUAUGCAGCAUGUUUGGAGACUCAUGUUGUACCUUCACCCCAAAUAACACAGCUCCCAACGGACAAUUCACAAAAGCCCUGGGGGGUCAUUUAGUAGGAACAUGAAGGCUCACUCUGGAUUGACCACAUCAACGUGGGACCAGUGGAUGAUGGUGUUUGGCAAAAAAACUGUUUUUUUAGUACUGUCUUGUGUUUUCAGAAAUAACCUUGACAGGUGCGUCACAACUGCUGCUUUACAGCACCCCCCACCUGGACCUCGCUGCACCGGGGCCGGGUGUGCACUGUGGCCAGUGUGCACCGACCACGUUGCACUGGGGGGGCCAGUUUAUGAGUAACGACCGCAAGGGGCCUGCAGGGAUGUUGGCUGCACACCCGACCUGUCUUGAAACACCGACCAAGGAGUCUAACAGUUUGUGUAAAUGUGUAGAAUUGAAUAAAAUCACAACCAUUUAUUAGG